UACAGAGGCCUCGAGCGUUGUUCGGAAUUACUGGGCGUAAAGGGAAUGUAGGCGGUGACGUAAGUCAGAUGUGAAAGCCCUGGGCUUAACCCGGGAAGUGCAUUUGAUACUGUGUCGCUGGAGUGCGAGAGAGGAAAGUGGAAUUCCCAGUGUAGGGGUGAAAUCCGUAGAUAUUGGGAGGAAUACCGAUGGCGAAGGCAGCUUUCUGGCUCGUAACUGACGCUGAGAUUCGAAAGCGUGGGUAGCAAACAGG
Molecule: ribosomal RNA, 253 nt
Filed under: uncultured bacterium
Lineage: Bacteria
Description: partial 16S ribosomal RNA
Rfam family: Bacterial small subunit ribosomal RNA
Source: RNAcentral